GUGGUGAGUGUUGUACCAAGGGAAGCUUAAAAUCUUCAGGGAGAUUUGGGGAACUUGGAGGAGCUUCCAGAAUUAGCAGGGAGGAGGACUUUUAAGAUGACAAAUUCCAGGAAAGUCGUGGGAUCACUUUCCAUGUGGUACACUGAUUGCAUUAGUUCCUUUAUUUAACUGAUAUUCUGGAUGCUGGGUCUAUGCCAAAUAAGAAAUCUCUGGGAUAUGAUCACCAACCUCCUGAAGGCUGUGUAUUCUGAGCCACAGGGACAAGGUGUACAUUGAAAAGAACACUGGCUUGGAGCCUGCGUUGCUGUUUGUAGGCUUUGUUGGUAGCUUGAUAUGAAAGAUAAAAGAAUAAAGUGAGACUUGUGGCUCCAGACCUCUCGGCUCAUCGGAAUCAUUGGGGGGAACUUCUGAAAAAUAAGGUUCCCCGGGCCCUGCCCUGAGGAGAGUCUGAUUCCCAAACAUGAUUGGGAAGCCUUCCUGGGAAGUGCGUUUCUGAGAAGCUCCAGAUGUGAUUCUGACUGGGGCGAGAUGGCGACCCAUUUAUUCUGAUGAAUUCGGAUGCGCUGUGUCAUUCCGAGGGACAGGUGACUGGGAAGGAAAGACGCGAAGACGAAGCCUAGCGAGUCUAGCCUGAACCCCCAGGCCUCUGCCUCUGUGCGAUGCACCAUGGCUGGCAUCAUAGAGUGUACAGUCUAAGAAGCUGGGGGGGUUGUCCUUUUCAAAGGGACUCUUUCUGACUGCCUGUCUCCGGAGCUCAGAUCCUACCCGAAGGAACUGAGAGGAGGAGCUGGGAGAGGCUGUUCUCUCUGAGAGGCACUUGUGCUUUCUUCAGCACAAGGACACUGGGGACUCAGUAAACAUAUAACUCCUUUAGAGAUGUUAUCCUGGAAACCAGAGGGAUGUAUGAAUUCUUACCUAAAUUUUCAGAUUACAAUUGACAAUUUCAAGGAGUCCACAAAAAAACUCUUAAAAGUAAGCAAAUUCAACAAGUUUACAGAUUACAAGAUCAACAUACAAAAAUUAAUUGCAUUUCUUUAUACUAACAAUGACCAGAGACAACAACAAUAUAAAUAAAAAACUACUUGCAAAGUAUGUACU
Long non-coding RNA from Eptesicus fuscus (big brown bat), 1098 nucleotides. RefSeq lists it as uncharacterized. The transcript is spliced from 3 exons. Lineage: Eukaryota; Metazoa; Chordata; Mammalia; Chiroptera; Vespertilionidae. The record is from RefSeq and is a predicted model, not a curated record.